GACGAACGCUGGCGGCGUGCUUAACACAUGCAAGUCGAACGGAAAGGCCUGCUUUCCCUUGUGGAUUGCGGGUACUCGAGUGGCGAACGGGUGAGUAACACGUGAGUGAUCUGCCCCCAACUUGGGUAUAAGCCUGGGAAACUGGGUCUAAUUCCCGAUAGGACUGCAGGGUGGUGCCUGUGGUGGAAAACGAUUUUCUAGUGGUUGGGGAUGAGCUCGCGGCCUAUCAGCUUGUUGGUGGGGUAAUGGCCUACCAAGGCGGCGACGGGUAGCCGGCCUGGGAGGGUGGACGGCCACAUUGGGACUGGGAUACGGCCCAGACUCCUACGGGAGGCAGCAGUGGGGAAUCUUGCACAAUGGGCGGAAGCCUGAUGCAGCGACGCCGCGUGGGGGAUGACGGCCUUCGGGUUGGAAACUCCUUUCGACCGCGAGGAAGCCACCUGGUUGGAAGGGUGGUGACGGUAGUGGUAGAAGAAGCACCGGCUAACUACGUG
This 494-nucleotide ribosomal RNA is filed under the name uncultured bacterium. Its description in RNAcentral is "partial 16S ribosomal RNA". It matches the Rfam family "Bacterial small subunit ribosomal RNA", at positions 28 to 507 of the family's 1533-position model. The record is from RNAcentral.